Molecule: long non-coding RNA, 946 nt
Filed under: Sus scrofa (pig)
Lineage: Eukaryota; Metazoa; Chordata; Mammalia; Artiodactyla; Suidae
Description: lncRNA (ENSSSCG00005006668.1)
Source: RNAcentral
GGAAGGAUGGAUGGGGCGUCCUCAUUCAGAUCAGGCAACUGUGCUGUUUCAAAACCCUGGCCCAAGUCUGAUCUGGGGACAGGGCGCCAGGAGGCUCUGGGGGCAACAGGGCAGCCCUUCUUCCAGAGCAGGGGCUGCUUGUGAAAGAUCACAUCUGAUUCCUAAAGUUCUGGUAUAAAUCCAGCAGAGAAAGAGGUCACCCCCACCCCACCCCAGCACAGACAUCAGCAGCACAUGAAAGGAGACACACAGAGGAAGGACUCACACCCAAAGAAAUGCAACUCUUCACCAGAAACCAAAGACAGGAAAAUUACACCAGGAGGCCAUUUGGAGCCUGUGGAGUCAGCCAAGGGAUGCUUCCAACUGGACAUGCUGCCCGGCUGUGGCCAUGCCACCAUGUCCUCACCAGCGGAAUGGGGACGGAAGUGAUCCACGCAACUUCAGCUGUUUAAGGGCUCAUUUGCCUGGGGUUUCUCUUUUUCCUUCCUUCAAACAGGGCCUGGAAGAGUGGCCCAAGGAGUGGUGGAACAUCCUAUCCUGCCAGCCACGGUCUCUUUGUCACAGCAUUUGGCCUGAAGGCACCCUCCCCCACCAGGCAAAAGACUGCAGAAGAUAAGAAGAAUGCACUAAGAAUCUGGUCCACUCCUGUCUGACGGCAAACUGGCCACUGUCUCUCUGCAGGGCAGUGAGGCGAUUUGCAGAAAGUCUGAAACUUUGCUCUACUUUUAACCCAGUGAUUCCACUCUAGGCUAUGUCCUAAGGGACUCAUUCUCAAAAACAAAUUAAAAAAAUUUAUACUCACAGCAUUUUGUCACAGUGUUUUUUUUUUUUUUUUUUUUUUUCCUUAAGGCUACACCUGCAGCAUAUGGAAGUUCCCAGGCAAGGGGUCGAAUCAGAGCUACAGCUAUCAGCUUAAGCCACAGCCACAGCUACACCAGAUCCUGGC